GUAGGGAAUAUUGGGCAAUGGUCGGAAGACUGACCCAGCCAUGCCGCGUGCAGGAAGACGGCCCUCUGGGUUGUAAACUGCUUUUAUCUGGGAAGAAAAAGGCCAUGCGUGGCAAAUUGCCGGUACCAGAUGAAUAAGCACCGGCUAACUCCGUGCCAGCAGCCGCGGUAAUACGGAGGGUGCGAGCGUUGUCCGGAUUUAUUGGGUUUAAAGGGUGCGUAGGCAGCUGAUUAAGUCAGCGGUGAAAGACUUCGGCUUAACCGGAGCAGUGCCGUUGAUACUGGUUGGCUUGAGUGUCGGAGGGGUACAUGGAAUUGAUGGUGUAGCGGUGAAAUGCAUAGAUACCAUCAGGAACACCGAUAGCGAAGGCAUUGUACUGGCCGACAACUGACGCUGAUGCACGAAAGUGUGGGGAUCGAACAGGAUUAGAAACCCCAGUAGUCC
This 444-nucleotide ribosomal RNA is filed under the name uncultured bacterium. RNAcentral describes it as "partial 16S ribosomal RNA". It matches the Rfam family "Bacterial small subunit ribosomal RNA", at positions 354 to 796 of the family's 1533-position model. The record is from RNAcentral.